ACGCUCGACACCUACGGGAAGCAGCAGUGAGGAAUAUUGGUCAAUGGACGCAAGUCUGAACCAGCCAUGCCGCGUGCAGGAUGACGGCUCUAUGAGUUGUAAACUGCUUUUGUACGAGGGUAAACGCAGAUACGUGUAUCUGUCUGAAAGUAUCGUACGAAUAAGGAUCGGCUAACUCCGUGCCAACAGCCGCGGUAAUCUGAGCGGGCUGGCAAGGC
RNAcentral lists this ribosomal RNA (218 nucleotides) under uncultured bacterium. Its description in RNAcentral is "partial 16S ribosomal RNA". It matches the Rfam family "Bacterial small subunit ribosomal RNA", at positions 326 to 539 of the family's 1533-position model. The record is from RNAcentral.